CCUACGGGUGGCAGCAGUGGGGAAUAUUGGACAAUGGGCGAAAGCCUGAUCCAGCCAUGCCGCGUGUGUGAAGAAGGCCUUCGGGUUGUAAAGCACUUUCAGUGGGGAAGAAAGCCUUGGGGCUAAUACCCUCGAGGAAGGACAUCACCCACAGAAGAAGCACCGGCUAACUCCGUGCCAGCAGCCGCGGUAAUACGGAGGGUGCGAGCGUUAAUCGGAAUUACUGGGCGUAAAGCGCGCGUAGGCGGUCUGAUAAGCCGGUUGUGAAAGCCCCGGGCUCAACCUGGGAACGGCAUCCGGAACUGUCAGGCUAGAGUGCAGGAGAGGAAGGUAGAAUUCCCGGUGUAGCGGUGAAAUGCGUAGAGAUCGGGAGGAAUACCAGUGGCGAAGGCGGCCUUCUGGACUGACACUGACGCUGAGGUGCGAAAGCGUGGGUAGCAAACAGGAUUAGAUCCCGGGUAGUC
RNAcentral lists this ribosomal RNA (464 nucleotides) under Vreelandella stevensii. Its description in RNAcentral is "partial 16S ribosomal RNA". It matches the Rfam family "Bacterial small subunit ribosomal RNA", at positions 338 to 795 of the family's 1533-position model. Lineage: Bacteria; Pseudomonadati; Pseudomonadota; Gammaproteobacteria; Oceanospirillales; Halomonadaceae. The record is from RNAcentral.